UGGCUCAGAACGAACGCUGGCGGCAUGCCUAACACAUGCAAGUCGAACGAGACCUUCGGGUCUAGUGGCGCACGGGUGCGUAACGCGUGGGAAUCUGCCCUUUGCUUCGGAAUAACAGUUAGAAAUGACUGCUAAUACCGGAUGAUGUCUUCGGACCAAAGAUUUAUCGGCAAAGGAUGAGCCCGCGUAGGAUUAGGUAGUUGGUGGGGUAAAGGCCUACCAAGCCGACGAUCCUUAGCUGGUCUGAGAGGAUGAUCAGCCACACUGGGACUGAGACACGGCCCAGACUCCUACGGGAGGCAGCAGUGGGGAAUAUUGGACAAUGGGCGAAAGCCUGAUCCAGCAAUGCCGCGUGAGUGAUGAAGGCCUUCGGGUCGUAAAGCUCUUUUACCAGGGAUGAUAAUGACAGUACCUGGAGAAUAAGCUCCGGCUAACUCCGUG
RNAcentral lists this ribosomal RNA (441 nucleotides) under uncultured bacterium. RNAcentral's name for it is "bacterial SSU rRNA". It matches the Rfam family "Bacterial small subunit ribosomal RNA", at positions 20 to 507 of the family's 1533-position model. The record is from RNAcentral.